RNAcentral lists this long non-coding RNA (294 nucleotides) under Phoenix dactylifera (date palm). Its description in RNAcentral is "long non-coding RNA (PDAC_LNC021091)". The record is from RNAcentral. Lineage: Eukaryota; Viridiplantae; Streptophyta; Magnoliopsida; Arecales; Arecaceae.
UUUCUGUUUCCUAAGCAUCAUCUCUGCUUCUCGGCUUUGUUUCGUUUUUGCAUUUGUUUCUCCUCAUGGCAAUUAUAGCAUUCAUCCAAAGAAAGGGAGGGCAAAUCUCACCUGAAGAUUUUAUUUAGAAGAUCAAAUCAAGGCGUUUUUCUGUUUCCUAAGCAUCAUCUCUGCUUCUCGGCUUUGUUUCGUUUUUGCAUUUGUUUCUCCUCAUGGCAAUUAUAGCAUUCAUCCAAAGAAAGGGAGGGCAAAUCUCACCUGAAGAUUUUAUUUAGAAGAUCAAAUCAAGGCAUU